GCAAGUCGUACGGCGGCACGGGUGCUUGCACCUGGUGGCGAGUGGCGAACGGGUGAGUAAUACAUCGGAACGUUCCUUAUCGUGGGGGAUAACGCAGCAAAAGCUGUGCUAAUACCGCAUAUGCCCUGAGGGGAAAAGCGGGGGAUCGAAAGACCUCGCGCGAUUAGAGCGGCCGGUGCCUGAUUAGCUUGUUGGUGAGGUAAAGGCCCACCAAGGCGACGAUCAGUAGCUGGUCUGAGAGGACGAUC
RNAcentral lists this ribosomal RNA (248 nucleotides) under uncultured bacterium. RNAcentral's name for it is "partial 16S ribosomal RNA". It matches the Rfam family "Bacterial small subunit ribosomal RNA", at positions 57 to 305 of the family's 1533-position model. The record is from RNAcentral.